RNAcentral lists this non-coding RNA (22 nucleotides) under Arabidopsis thaliana (thale cress). The record is from RNAcentral. Lineage: Eukaryota; Viridiplantae; Streptophyta; Magnoliopsida; Brassicales; Brassicaceae.
GAUACUAUUAAAGAUGGUAAUC